Molecule: ribosomal RNA, 295 nt
Filed under: uncultured bacterium
Lineage: Bacteria
Description: partial 16S ribosomal RNA
Rfam family: Bacterial small subunit ribosomal RNA
Source: RNAcentral
CUGAACCAGCCAUCCCGCGGUGCAGGAUGACGGCCCUAUGGGUUGUAAACUGCUUUUCUACGCCAAGAAACGGCUCUACGUGUAGGGCACUGACGGUAGCGUAGGAAUAAGCAUCGGCUAACUCCGUGCCAGCAGCCGCGGUAAUACGGAGGAUGCAAGCGUUAUCCGGAUUCAUUGGGUUUAAAGGGUGCGCAGGCGGGGAAGUAAGUCAGUGGUGAAAAACUGCCGCUCAACGGUAGUCGUGCCAUUGAUACCGCUUUUCUUGAGUUUGGAUGAGGUAGGCGGAAUGUGCACU